Molecule: long non-coding RNA, 1825 nt
Filed under: Polistes fuscatus (common paper wasp)
Lineage: Eukaryota; Metazoa; Arthropoda; Insecta; Hymenoptera; Vespidae
Description: uncharacterized LOC122521490
Source: RNAcentral
UGAAAACGCUGCCGAAAUCAUGCAUUAACGCAGGCUCGUUUGUAUACUCUGUAAACGAACGUAGAAUGCAAAUAAAACGUUUAUCACACUAUUAUAUCUUUCUCCAUAAUCUACUUAUAUACGAUAUCAAUGUAAUCUCGAUGGGAUGAGCUGAGGAUCUUCGAGCUGAUAUUAUACUUCGCACGUUUUAAAAAUAUUUAAAUGAAAUUUUCAUUCCUUCAUCAAAAAAUCUAAUUUCAAUCUAGUCGAAGUGUGAAAAAUUAUUAUGACAGUACUUGAAUAUAUUGUUUUUUCAUUAAUUUGCUUGUUUGUCCAUUUUACUUGUUUAUCUACUUACUUUUUUAUACUUUUAUACGGAAGAGACGAAAGUAGAGUGUAAGAGGAUAUUUGAAUCCCGUAAAGAUUUUUAUUUACAAAAGAGCAAACGAAAGAUAGAUACAUCAUUUCUUUUUUUUCUUUGCUAAAUAUUUAUUUUUCCAUUUUACCAAAAUAUACAAUCGAUUAAAUCCUUGUAGCAGAUCCUUAUUCUAAUUACUGAAUUUACUACAAAAAAAUAAUAUAAAAUAGAAGAAAAAAUAUAAAAUGAAUAACAGGCAACAGAUUUCAAUAGUCAUUUGUAAAUAAUGUAAACAAUGUGACAAUGUGACAAUGAAAAACGUAGUGACAGCGAUGUCCGAGCUUUUUAAACUUAUACUCUCUAACGAAUAAAGUACUCGAUAUUUAUACACGCCAAAGACACACAUACGCCUCUGACGCGUUAGCAAUUCAAAUAAGUCUUAUACAUUGGUCGUCGAUACGAAAAAAAGGAAAAGAACGAAGAAGAAAGAUAUUUCAACAAAGAAUGGAAUAUAAAUAAUGAUCAUGAGUCGUUCGUUCACGUCAUUUAAAAUAGAGUCUCAUUUAUAUUUCUCUCAGGGAAAGGAUAUUUCAUUAAAUAAAACCGAAUAGGAGAACGUGGAGCUUGAUUAGAAUUACUCUUUUUAAAUUAAUCGAUAUAACUGACAUGAGAUCGAGAAAACAAGGAGCAUUUGAUUAAAAUAACUGUUUUUUUUAAUUUAAAGUCUUAACGAACGGAUAAAGAUCUCAAAGAUCUUAUUCGCCUUUAGAGAGAAUAAUGAAAAUUGAAAACAAUUCGAAGAGAAAUUUCAAUGUUAAUCAACGAAAAGGGGAAAGAAAUCGGAGAGAUAAUGGAAAAUUAUUAGCAAGUCAUUUCUCUCUCUCUCUCUCUCCCGCUCACUCUUUCUUUUUCUUUUCUCUUAACAAUACGAAAUCGAGAAAAGAACUGCAAGUAUAUAUCUACGUGUUAUAUAAUCUGUCAGUAAACGUCUACAGAAUUUUUCUUAAUUUCAUAUCGAACUCUACUUUUCUCUCUCAUUCUUUCUCUUUUUUUUUAAACAAGAAAAUAAAAAGAUCUCUAUUAUUUUGAAUCGAAAUAGCCUGAUAGGAUAAAAGAAGGAGAAAAAAGAAAAGAAAUAAGAAUGGAGAACGUUAUCUUAAUUCGGAAAUGGUAAAGGAUAUGGACAGCGAUGUUAAAGCGUGCUUACUCUCUUAAAACCUGAUCCGUCGAUUUCGAAUUCCUUCUUUGUACUUUUCUUUCUCUUCCACUUCUUCAACGACUCGAGGGUAGGCUGCGAAAAAUAGGAAAACGCUCGGACAUUAUGCGGCCGAUCUCGUUCGAAUAAAUAGAGCGAACGUGCGCUUUCUACGAUGAGACGAAGGGAGAAAGGAAAAUCAAGUGGAAAUGGGGACCGAAGACAACACCGGUAAAAGGGCAUAAGGGGUGGCAAGCCGAUGGAUCCUUGGAUGAACGGAAAGAGAGAAAGGA